Small nucleolar RNA from Paramormyrops kingsleyae, 80 nucleotides. Ensembl annotates it as small nucleolar RNA SNORD74. The record is from Ensembl. Lineage: Eukaryota; Metazoa; Chordata; Actinopteri; Osteoglossiformes; Mormyridae.
UACAGCUGAAUGUGAUGAUACUUGUGUUGGUAGGGACAUCUGAGAAAAUCUGAUGAAUUGCCAACCUUUCUGACUCGGCA